UGUUUUAUGUGGCACAUGUGACAAAUACAAUUUGAUUUGAGGUGGUACCAAUACCCUGUAUCUCUCUGAGGCUGUAAUACUGUUGAUGACCACUAGGUGGUGCCAAUACCCUGUAUCUCUCUGAGGAGGCUGUAAUACUGUUGAUGACCACUAGGUGGUGCCAACACCCUGUAUCUCUCUGAGGUGGCUGUAAUAUUGUUGAUGACCACUAGGUGGUACCAACACCCUGUAUCUCUCUGAGGCUGUAAUACUGUUGAUGACCACUAGGUGGUGGCAAUACCCUGUAUCUCUCUGAGGCUGUAAUACUGUUGAUGACCACUAGGUGGUGCCAAUACCCUGUAUCUCUGAGGCUGUAAUACUGUUGAUGACCACUAGGUGGUGCCAACACCCUGUAUCUCGCUGAGGCUGUAAUACUGUUGAUGACCACUAGGUGGAGCCAAUAUCCUGUCGCCGAUUUGAGAUCAUAACAUUGAACAAGCCUCCUAAUCACAAAAGGGAGAUUUUUUUCUCUAAAUAAAAACGGUUGGCAAUGUUAAGAAUCAAUAACAUCUUUAAAUGUACAAUCAACAAUGUCUGUUACAAUUAAAAAUGAUUCUUUCCCAAAUA
This is a non-coding RNA of Salmo salar (Atlantic salmon), 606 nucleotides long. NCBI's taxonomy places the organism in Eukaryota, Metazoa, Chordata, Actinopteri, Salmoniformes, Salmonidae. The record is from RefSeq and is a predicted model, not a curated record.